GCUCGCAGCUUGAGGAAGAAAAGAUUCACCAGAAUGUCAGCCUGGUUUUGCACAGCCUCUGCUGGCGUAACGGCUCAGACAUCCACCCCUGAAGAGAAGUGACAAGUUCAGCUGAGGGAACUCCAGCCGGAGUUCACCAUAAUGGAGCCCUCAGACCUCCUGCGGAUGCCUGAAACCGUGGAUAGCCCCCAGCCCUUCGUGCCGUGUUUUUCCCUAUGCAUAUAUACCCACGAAGAGGUUAACAGCAAUAACUAACCAUGAAAUAGAACAAUUCCAACAAUACACUGUAAUAAAAGGUGACUAUGGUGUCUCAAGCCA
Molecule: long non-coding RNA, 318 nt
Organism: Hyaena hyaena (striped hyena)
Lineage: Eukaryota; Metazoa; Chordata; Mammalia; Carnivora; Hyaenidae
Exons: 2
Source: RefSeq, a predicted model, not a curated record